AACCUUUUUUUUGCCGUCAUAUGACCUUAUAUAGAAGGCGUCAGCUUCGGCUGACUAUGGCGAUAAAUGGCUGUCGUAAUAAGCCCAUCGGACCCGGGGGCGGUACCCGGCGCCUCCACCACAUGCCGCUGCGGGCCAACUCCUGCCAGCGGCAUCUGAUGGGGGCGAAAUAGGAUCGACGAGGGUGUAAAGGACAGGCUUUCGCCCGGCAUGGUACCGCCGUUAUCGGGCCAACAUAAUAGUUGCCAACGACAACUAUGCUGAGGCACGUCUCGCUGCCUAGUCAGCGCGACAGUCUCGAAAUUGAGCCCUGAUCUUUAGCAAGGUCAGGCGCGGUUCAGGAGGGCACCGGGCAACAGAAGCCCUCCACU
RNAcentral lists this transfer-messenger RNA (371 nucleotides) under Alphaproteobacteria bacterium. It matches the Rfam family "Alphaproteobacteria transfer-messenger RNA". From Rfam's summary of the family: Bacterial tmRNA, also known as 10Sa RNA or SsrA, is named for its dual tRNA and mRNA-like properties. Its role is to liberate the mRNA from a stalled ribosome. The record is from RNAcentral. Lineage: Bacteria; Pseudomonadati; Pseudomonadota; Alphaproteobacteria.